RNAcentral lists this ribosomal RNA (253 nucleotides) under uncultured bacterium. RNAcentral's name for it is "partial 16S ribosomal RNA". It matches the Rfam family "Bacterial small subunit ribosomal RNA", at positions 524 to 777 of the family's 1533-position model. The record is from RNAcentral.
GACGUAGGGUGCGAGCGUUGUCCGGAAUUACUGGCGUAAAGAGCUCGUAGGUGGUUUGUCGCGUUGUUCGUGAAAACUCACAGCUUAACUGUGGGCGUGCGGGCGAUACGGGCAGACUGGAGUACUGCAGGGGAGACUGGAAUUCCUGGUGUAGCGGUGGAAUGCGCAGAUAUCAGGAGGAGCACCGGUGGCGAAGGCGGGUCUCUGGGCAGUAACUGACGCUGAGGAGCGAAAGCGUGGGGAGCGAACAGGA